Molecule: ribosomal RNA, 429 nt
Filed under: uncultured prokaryote
Description: bacterial SSU rRNA
Rfam family: Bacterial small subunit ribosomal RNA
Source: RNAcentral
UGGGGAAUCUUGGACAAUGGGCGAAAGCCUGAUCCAGCCAUGCCGCGUGUGCGAAGAAGGCCCUAGGGUUGUAAACCUCUUUCAGCAGGGAAGAAGCGAGAGUGACGGUACCUGCAGAAGAAGCACCGGCUAACUACGUGCCAGCAGCCGCGGUAAUACGUAGGGUGCAAGCGUUGUCCGGAAUUAUUGGGCGUAAAGAGCUCGUAGGCGGUCUGUCGCGUCUGCUGUGAAAGUUCGGGGCUCAACCCCGGAACUGCAGUGGGUACGGGCAGACUAGAGUGCGGUAGAGGAGACUGGAAUUCCUGGUGUAGCGGUGGAAUGCGCAGAUAUCAGGAGGAACACCAGUGGCGAAGGCGGGUCUCUGGGCCGCAACUGACGCUGAGGAGCGAAAGCAUGGGGAGCGAACAGGAUUAGAUACCCGUGUAGUCC